AUUGAACGCUGGCGGCAGGCCUAACACAUGCAAGUCGAGCGGAUGACGGGAGCUUGCUCCUUGAUUCAGCGGCGGACGGGUGAGUAAUGCCUAGGAAUCUGCCUGGUAGUGGGGGACAACGUUUCGAAAGGAACGCUCAUACCGCAUACGUCCUACGGGAGAAAGCAGGGGACCUUCGGGCCUUGCGCUAUCAGAUGAGCCUAGGCCGGAUUAGCUAGUUGGUGGGGUAAUGGCUCACCAAGGAGACGAUCCGUAACUGGUCUGAGAGGAUGAUCAGUCACACUGGAACUGAGACACGGUCCAGACUCCUACGGGAGGCAGCAGUGGGGAAUAUUGGACAAUGGGCGAAAGCCUGAUCCAGCCAUGCCGCGUGUGUGAAGAAGGUCUUCGGAUUGUAAAGCACUUUAAGUUGGGAGGAAGGGCAGUAAGUUAAUACCUUGCUGUUUUGACGUUACCGACAGAAUAAGCACCGGCUAACUCUGUGCCAGCAGCCGCGGUAA
This 500-nucleotide ribosomal RNA is filed under the name uncultured bacterium. RNAcentral's name for it is "partial 16S ribosomal RNA". It matches the Rfam family "Bacterial small subunit ribosomal RNA", at positions 30 to 523 of the family's 1533-position model. The record is from RNAcentral.